GUCCACGCUGUAAACGAUGAGUGCUGGACGUUGCGGAGCUUGCUCUGCGGUGUCGUAGCUAACGCGCUAAGCACUCCGCCUGGGGAGUACGGCCGCAAGGUUGAAACUCAAAGGAAUUGACGGGGGCCCGCACAAGCGGUGGAGCAUGUGGUUUAAUUCGACGCAACGCGAAGAACCUUACCAGCCCUUGACAUGCCGUGCUACCGCCAGAGAUGGCGGGUUCCUUCGGGACGCGGACACAGGUGCUGCAUGGCUGUCGU
RNAcentral lists this ribosomal RNA (260 nucleotides) under uncultured bacterium. RNAcentral describes it as "partial 16S ribosomal RNA". It matches the Rfam family "Bacterial small subunit ribosomal RNA", at positions 793 to 1055 of the family's 1533-position model. The record is from RNAcentral.